Molecule: non-coding RNA, 1687 nt
Organism: Carica papaya (papaya)
Lineage: Eukaryota; Viridiplantae; Streptophyta; Magnoliopsida; Brassicales; Caricaceae
Source: RefSeq, a predicted model, not a curated record
AUGAAAAAAAAAAAUAUUGACAAGUCUCUUGGUGUCUUCUUCCCAUGGAAAUGUUCAUUUUAAUCACAUGUAUCUUGUGCUGUUCAUAUGAAUUGGUAAGGAGGACUGGGAAUUCUAUUUUGUUGCUAAGUAUUUUGUUGCCUUUCCUCGACAAGUAUACUACUUUCUUUUGUUUAAGUGUUAAGUUUUUAAUUGAUCAACGAGAUUCAUCGGCCAAUUAGAAGAGUGUGUUAAAAUAUGAUUGUAAUGUUGGCCAUAGAUAAUGCUUCUCUUUUAUUUCAAAAAAAAUGUUGGCCAUAGAUUGUUGCCCUAAUGAACAGGUUAUGCUGACAGGGGAAUUGGUGAUUAGGUAUCUUCCUGAUUAGUUAUAGAGUAUUGUUUCUGUGCUUCAAUAUGUAUGCAGGUUAUAAAGAGAGAUACAUGUUUAGGAUGUGUGUAUUCAUUAGAUGCAUGCCUGAUAUGAUCUUCAGUUUUCUUCAGUCAUAUGUAAAUAUAAAAAUUGGACGCAUCAUUAGAUACUGUUGUUUGUUGUUUCUAGAUAACUUUACUACUUGUUUAGAGAAUUGGUGUGACAGCGCUUCUAUAUGGUGAAACUUUCUUGUCUUAUUGUCCAAGUUCUUCUCAGAUAGAAUUCCAGUUCGUUUAUACGUCUGGAGUGUAACUGAGGAUUUUGAUGAUUUGGAAGAUGUUCCGGAGAUUGAUAGUUGGGACAAGAUUUCUUACAUAAACCGACCAGUUGAGAUUCGUAGAGAAGAAGGUAAAUGCUUCACCUUACUUGAUGCAGUAAAAGCUCUUCUACCAGAGUUUUUUGGGGACAGUUCCUUGAUUAUGGAGGAACAAACUAGAGUUGAGGGUGAAGACAGACAGAAACCAGAAGAUGUGGGAGAGAAAAUAAGUAUAAACAUUAGGGAUGAAAAUUCAAAUGAGAAGACAGAACCUAGCUGUACUUACAAUGAUGCCGAAAUCAAGUAUAUCCGCAUUCAGGGAAUUGAGCCGAAAUGGGAGAUACCUUUUUCCUGGGUAGUGAAGAACUUGAUGAACCCGGAAUACUUUCUUCACGUGUGUGUUUGCAUCAAAGCUCCAACAGUGAAUGCCACUUAACCUUGUGUUUUUAUUCUUCUUUCCAAUUUCUAUUUAUCAUUCAAUCAGGGUUGCAUUUGGUCCAUUUAUUUUCUGAUUCAAUUCCUAACCAAUUUCUAUUUUCAUUUCUCGUAUUAGUUUUAAUUUGGAUGAUAUAAAACAUAAUUUAUAUUGUCUUUGCUACCAUUACCUCCACUUGAAUUUUGUUAAGAGUGAGAAUUCAGUUCCUUCCUUCUAAAGUGGAAGUAGAAUUCCCACAACUAAGAAAUUCAAAGUGAGGGUUAGGGUAAUUAAGACAAUAAAUUAUGUUCUAAUUAUACAUAUUAAAAAUUAAUAUGAUAAGCGAAACUAGAAAUUGACUAAAUUGUGUUUGUAGACAAGGUAAAAAAUGAAUUUGAUUCAUUGUAUAGAAUUGUACAGAAUUAUAUUCUCAAGGUACAAGAUUGCUCCAUUGCUGUGGUAAGAGUUUUCUAUUACAAGAACAUUCCUAAAGGACAACUUAAUUUGGUGUGUUGAGAUACAAGUGUGAAGAUAAUAUGCCGGAUAUGAAUCAUACAUAUGUAUACAUAUUUGACAAAAUUCAAUUUUAUCUGCUUAUUUUUGGAUU